This 269-nucleotide ribosomal RNA is filed under the name uncultured bacterium. RNAcentral's name for it is "partial 16S ribosomal RNA". It matches the Rfam family "Bacterial small subunit ribosomal RNA", at positions 87 to 354 of the family's 1533-position model. The record is from RNAcentral.
CCCGGCGACCGGCGCACGGGUGAGUAACACGUAUGCAACCUGGCCGCCACAGGGGGAUAACCCGCGGAAACGCGGCCUAAUACCCCGUGACGCCACCGGAGGGCAUCCUCCGGUGGCCAAAGGAGCGAUCCGGUGGCGGAUGGGCAUGCGGCGCAUUAGCUAGACGGCGGGGUGACGGCCCACCGUGGCGACGAUGCGUAGGGGUUCUGAGAGGAAGGCCCCCCACACUGGGACUGAGACACGGCCCAGACUCCUACGGGAGGCAGCAG